AUGGAGGAGGCGGAGAAAGGGGAGCUCUUGGAGAGGGACACCAAGCCUUGGCUGGACAGCCAUCCGGGGCCAACGGCCGGCCUACCCCUGCUCACCGACGACCUCGUCCUGGAGAUCCUCUCCCGCCUCCCCGUGAGAUCCCUCCACCGCUUCAAGUGCGUCUCCGUGUCCUGGCGCGACCUCAUCGCCGACCCCGCCAACCGCAAGAAGCUGCCACAGACCCUCGCUGGCUUCCUCUACUUUACCACCGACGACAGCGGGCAUCGCCACCACUUCGCCAGCGUCUCUGGCGCCGCAGCCCCGCUUGACCCUUGCCUGCAGCCUAACAAGUACAAGUACAUGGCCCAGCUGGGCUCCUGCAAUGGCCUCCUUCUAUACCGCGGCAGCAACAAGAGGAUGGCGAAUUGGGCAGGCGGUGCUUCCCGUUUUGUGGUGUGCAAUCCUGCCACUCGGAGGUGGGUGGAGCUGCCCCCUCAACCGCAGGUGCCGGCGAACAAAUAUUGCCAUAUCGCAGGAGCCUGGAGUUUCAGGAGUGGUAGUAGGAUGGUUGAGAAAGUGGUGCCGCUCAAUAGUAAAUGUGUCUUCGUCGGCGGUAUGAUGUAUUUGAUUGGCAACCUGAUGGACUUCAACAACAUAUACGUGCUGAUGGUGGUGGACAUGGAGGGGAAAGUGUGGAAGACUAUCCCUGUGCCGUACGGCCGAGGAUCUGCCACGAUUGGAGUGUCGCAGGGGUGCUUGCACUAUGUUGUAGCUUCAACGGUUCCAGUCAAUGAUAGUAAUGAAAUCCUAGGUUCUGGGAUAACACUUUGGUGCCUCAAGGAUCGUGACAGCAAAGAAUUGGUUCUAAAGCGUUCUGCCAACAUCAAUGAGAUUAUGGGCAUGAUUGGGGAGAAGUACAGGGUGGCUGCGAUUCAUCCAGAUUGCGACACCGUUUUCUUGAUGUCAUCUGGAGGUGAUACCUUGGUAGCGUAUGAUAUGCAACAUCAGAAACUUCAUUGCAUCCUUAAUCUUGAGAAAGGCAUUACAAAACCGAAACGGUUUCUACCCUAUGUUCCUCUGUUCUCAGAGUCAUUACCAGAUGCAGAUGGGCAGUAG
This 1095-nucleotide ribosomal RNA is filed under the name Triticum aestivum (bread wheat). Its description in RNAcentral is "partial small subunit ribosomal RNA". Lineage: Eukaryota; Viridiplantae; Streptophyta; Magnoliopsida; Poales; Poaceae. The record is from RNAcentral.